UGGGGGAGCGCUGGAUCUUGGGCUGUGUCCCCGGCGCCCUGUGCUCCCGGGCCUACACUUUGGAGUCACGCUCCCGGCCGUGAGGCCCCCU
RNAcentral lists this microRNA precursor (91 nucleotides) under Canis lupus familiaris (dog). RNAcentral describes it as "mir-8799 microRNA precursor family". It matches the Rfam family "mir-8799 microRNA precursor family". The record is from Rfam by way of RNAcentral. Lineage: Eukaryota; Metazoa; Chordata; Mammalia; Carnivora; Canidae. RNAcentral also lists the same sequence under 1 other name.